Molecule: RNase P RNA, 426 nt
Filed under: Bradyrhizobium japonicum
Lineage: Bacteria; Pseudomonadati; Pseudomonadota; Alphaproteobacteria; Hyphomicrobiales; Nitrobacteraceae
Also listed under: 1 other name
Description: bacterial RNase P
Rfam family: Bacterial RNase P class A
About the family: Ribonuclease P (RNase P) is a ubiquitous endoribonuclease, found in archaea, bacteria and eukarya as well as chloroplasts and mitochondria. Its best characterised activity is the generation of mature 5'-ends of tRNAs by cleaving the 5'-leader elements of precursor-tRNAs.
Source: RNAcentral
UCAGUCGGCCGGACGGCCGCUCCGGCAGGUGCCGAAAGGCCGCCGGGGAGGAAAGUCCGGGCUCCCUUGACAUACGGUGCCGGAUAACGUCCGGCGGGGGCAACCCCAGGGAAAGUGCCACAGAGAACGAACCGCCCCGCUUCGCCUUCGGCUUCGCGGGGUAAGGGUGAAAAGGUGCGGUAAGAGCGCACCGCGGCUCCGGCAACGGAGCCGGCAUGGUAAACCCCACCGGGAGCAAAACCGAAUAGGGACGGCGUAGCGGGCUGUUCGCGCAAGCGAUAACGCCGCGGGGCGAUGUCAGGCCCGCCGUCCGGGUAGGUUGCUCGAGGCCAUGUGCAAAUAUGGUCCCAGAGGAAUGGCCGUCACGUAUCGUUCGCGCAAGCGGACGGUGCCUUACAGAACCCGGCUUACAGGCCGGCUGAUAUC